Molecule: long non-coding RNA, 507 nt
Organism: Mytilus californianus (California mussel)
Lineage: Eukaryota; Metazoa; Mollusca; Bivalvia; Mytilida; Mytilidae
Exons: 2
Source: RefSeq, a predicted model, not a curated record
UCUACCUAUGCCAUUAAGAUUUUAUUUUCAUCAUUAUUAUUUAAAUUUUUGAAUUAUUUUUUGCGUUGAUUGUUGACAGCAAAGUAGCAAAAAUGAUAAAAGAAACUAUUGUAGUUUUGGUAACAUUAUGUUUUAUGGUAUAUUGUUCAGAAAAAAUUCCAAUGAAAGAAAUCACAGGUGCGUUUAAAGAAAUGGAUGUUAAUGGUGACGGGAAGGUGACUCUACAAGAGACUACAUCUUACAUGGAGAAGAAGAAACAAAUACCAGAGUCGGAUCACAAAAAUAUGGCAGAAUCUAUUUUUACCUUUUACGACAAAAACAAAGAUGGUCAUAUAGUUUUGUCCGAAUUUUUGCCACAUGAUGAAUUGUAAUAUUGAAACGUCACAAAGCUGGAACCGCAUUUAAAGCAUGAGUGCGUGUAUUUGGAAAACUGAACUCGAAAGACAUGCGCACUUUACAGAUUAUAUCCAACAUUGACAGCUUGACAUUAAAAGGAUGUUCUUUUCA